AGUGAACGCUGGCGGUAGGCCUAACACAUGCAAGUCGAACGGCAGCACAGUAAGAGCUUGCUCUUACGGGUGGCGAGUGGCGGACGGGUGAGGAAUACAUCGGAAUCUACUUUUUCGUGGGGGAUAACGUAGGGAAACUUACGCUAAUACAGCAUACGACCUACGGGUGAAAUCAGGGGAUCUUCGGACCUUGCGCGAUUGAAUGAGCCGAUGUCGGAUUAGCUAGUUGGCGGGGUAAAGGCCCACCAAGGCGACGAUCCGUAGCUGGUCUGAGAGGAUGAUCAGCCACACUGGAACUGAGACACGGUCCAGACUCCUACGGGAGGCGGCAGUGGGGAAUAUUGGACAAUGGGCGCAAGCCUGAUCCAGCCAUACCGCGUGGGUGAAGAAGGCCUUCGGGUUGUAAAGCCCUUUUGUUGGGAAAGAAAAGCAGCAGGUUAAUACCCCGCUGUUCUGACGGUACCCAAAGAAUAAGCACCGGCUAACUUCGUG
Molecule: ribosomal RNA, 492 nt
Filed under: uncultured bacterium
Lineage: Bacteria
Description: partial 16S ribosomal RNA
Rfam family: Bacterial small subunit ribosomal RNA
Source: RNAcentral